RNAcentral lists this ribosomal RNA (467 nucleotides) under uncultured bacterium. RNAcentral describes it as "partial 16S ribosomal RNA". It matches the Rfam family "Bacterial small subunit ribosomal RNA", at positions 28 to 507 of the family's 1533-position model. The record is from RNAcentral.
GACGAACGCUGGCGGCGUGCUUAACACAUGCAAGUCGAACGGAAAGGCCUCUUUCGGGGGGUACUCAAGUGGCGAACGGGUGAGUAACACGUGAGUAACCUGCCCUUGACUUUGGGAUAACUUCAGGAAACUGGGGCUAAUACCGGAUAGGAGCUCCUGCUGCAUGGUGGGGGUUGGAAAGUUUCGGCGGUUGGGGAUGGACUCGCGGCUUAUCAGCUUGUUGGUGGGGUAGUGGCUUACCAAGGCUUUGACGGGUAGCCGGCCUGAGAGGGUGACCGGCCACAUUGGGACUGAGAUACGGCCCAGACUCCUACGGGAGGCAGCAGUGGGGAAUAUUGCACAAUGGGUGGAAGCCUGAUGCAGCAACGCCGUGUGCGGGAUGACGGCCUUCGGGUUGUAAACCGCUUUCGCUCAUGACGAAGCUUUGUGUGACGGUAGUGGGUAAAGAAGCACCGGCUAACUACGUG